Molecule: ribosomal RNA, 433 nt
Filed under: uncultured bacterium
Lineage: Bacteria
Description: partial 16S ribosomal RNA
Rfam family: Bacterial small subunit ribosomal RNA
Source: RNAcentral
AACGAACGCUGGCGGCAGGCCUAACACAUGCAAGUCGAGCGAGGACUUCGGUCCUAGCGGCUGGCGGGGGAGUAACGCGUGGGAACGUGCCUUUUCCUUCGGAAUAGCCCUGGGAAACUGGGGGUAAUACCGGAUGAGCCCUUUGGGGGUAAGAUGCAUCGGCGAAGGAUCGGCCCGCGUUGGUUUAGGUAUUUGGUGUGGGAAUGGCCCAUCUAGGCUACGAUCCAUAGCUGGGUGGAGAGGAUGAGAAGCCACACUGGGACUGAGACACGGCCCAGAAUCCUACGGAACGCAGGAGUGGGGAAUCUUAGACAAUGGGGGAAACCCUGAUCUAGCCAUGCCGCGUGAGCGAUGAAGGCCUUAGGGUUGUAAAGCUCUUUCAGCUGAGAAGAUAAUGACGGUACCAGCAGAAGAAGCCCCGGCUAACUCCGUG